RNAcentral lists this ribosomal RNA (40 nucleotides) under uncultured fungus. RNAcentral's name for it is "partial 28S ribosomal RNA". The record is from RNAcentral. Lineage: Eukaryota; Fungi.
GUGAUCUCGAAAUCAGGUAAGACUACCCGCUGAACUUAAG